CAGCCGCCACGGGAAUACAGAGGGUGCGAGCGUUAAUCGGAUUUACUGGGCGUAAAGCGUGCGUAGGUGGCUUUUUAAGUCGGAUGUGAAAUCCCUGAGCUUAACUUAGGAAUUGCAUUCGAUACUGGGAAGCUAGAGUAUGGGAGAGGAUGGUAGAAUUCCAGGUGUAGCGGUGAAAUGCGUAGAGAUCUGGAGGAAUACCGAUGGCGAAGGCAGCCAUCUGGCCUAAUACUGACGCUGAGGUACGAAAGCAUGGGGAGCAAACAGGAUUAGAUACCCCUGUAGUCCCUGUCUCUUAUAC
This 301-nucleotide ribosomal RNA is filed under the name uncultured bacterium. RNAcentral describes it as "partial 16S ribosomal RNA". It matches the Rfam family "Bacterial small subunit ribosomal RNA", at positions 509 to 807 of the family's 1533-position model. The record is from RNAcentral.